UAAUUAGUUUUAAAACCAAAUCCAGUACCUUCAAAUUUGAUUAAAAAUCUACUUGCUUGAAAUAUUGUUAUAGCUUAGAGACAUUCGAAGUGAUCCUGUCUCUAAUUAUCUACGCUUUGCUAGAGCUUCUUUCUUCUAGGCCAGAAGAGGAGCCGAGUUUUUGAAGACACUGUAGUUUAAUUCGUGGCUGUAAAUUGUUGCCUUGGUUCAAGGCUGAUCCAAAAUUUGAUUUGAAUAUUAAUUAAGAUAAUGUGGAAGACAAGUGUUCCGACUAUGGACGGGUGAAGCGUAUAUAUGUUGACAAGUGCUAGGAUGAACAUCUGUUUGAUGUGGAAAUUACCAUAACAUGGGGUUUACAAGUAGCAUGAAUAAAACACUUGAAGAAUCAUACCACAUCAGAACCGGCCACCAGUUACAAAUUUUCUCCUCAUCACAACAGCAGUAAUGUGGCCACCAACCCAUGGAUGCAAAUUUGCAGCACUUUUAAGUUUAAAACAGUGAGUAUGUGGACUUGAAGAAAACAGUCUUGAAAUAGUUAUUAGUUUAUGUGUAAAUUCGUUUUCCUUUGUAACUUUUGUAGAUAGGUUUUGAUUAGAAGUUAAUGUUUAUAAUUAGUAUUACUAUUUAAA
Helianthus annuus (common sunflower) is the source of this 629-nucleotide long non-coding RNA. RefSeq lists it as uncharacterized. Lineage: Eukaryota; Viridiplantae; Streptophyta; Magnoliopsida; Asterales; Asteraceae. The record is from RefSeq and is a predicted model, not a curated record. The transcript has 2 exons.